RNAcentral lists this small RNA (894 nucleotides) under Pan troglodytes (chimpanzee). RNAcentral's name for it is "retained intron". Lineage: Eukaryota; Metazoa; Chordata; Mammalia; Primates; Hominidae. The record is from RNAcentral.
UCUUUUUGCUUCCUUUUAAAGUCAUUAAGGUUGUUGGAUGAAGAAGAAGCAACCGAUAAUGAUUUAAGAGCAAAAUUUAAGGAACGUUGGCAAAGGACACCAUCCAAUGAACUGUAUAAGCCUUUAAGAGCAGAGGGAACCAACUUCAGAACAGUUUUAGAUAAAGCUGUGCAGGCAGAUGGACAAGUGAAAGAAUGUUACCAGUCUCAUCGUGACACCAUCGUGCUUUUGUGUAAGCCAGAGCCUGAGCUGAAUGCUGCCAUCCCUUCUGCUAAUCCAGCAAAGACCAUGCAGGGCAGUGAGGUUGUAAAUGUCUUAAAAUCCUUAUUGUCAAAUCUUGAUGAAGUAAAGAAGGAAAGAGAGGGUCUGGAGAAUGACUUGAAAUCUGUGAAUUUUGACAUGACAAGCAAGUUUUUGACAGCCCUGGCUCAAGAUGGUGUGAUAAAUGAAGAAGCUCUUUCUGUUACUGAACUAGAUCGAGUCUAUGGAGGUCUUACAACUAAAGUCCAAGAAUCUCUAAAGAAACAGGAGGGACUUCUUAAAAAUAUUCAGGUCUCACAUCAGGAAUUUUCGAAAAUGAAACAAUCUAAUAAUGAAGCUAACUUAAGAGAAGAAGUUUUGAAGAAUUUAGCUACUGCAUAUGACAACUUUGUUGAACUUGUAGCUAAUUUGAAGGAAGGCACAAAGUUUUACAAUGAGUUGACUGAAAUCCUGGUCAGGUUCCAGAACAAAUGCAGUGAUAUAGUUUUUGCACGGAAGACAGAAAGAGAUGAACUCUUAAAGGACUUGCAACAAAGCAUUGCCAGAGAACCUAGUGCUCCUUCAAUUCCUACACCUGCAUAUCAGUCCUCACCAGCAGGAGGACAUGCACCAACUCCUCCAACUCCAGCGCCA